GAAGGCGCUUCCCUUUGGAGU
RNAcentral lists this microRNA (21 nucleotides) under Gorilla gorilla (western gorilla). Its description in RNAcentral is "ggo-miR-524-3p". Its record names the gene ggo-miR-524-3p. RNAcentral also lists the same sequence under 4 other names. Lineage: Eukaryota; Metazoa; Chordata; Mammalia; Primates; Hominidae. The record is from miRBase by way of RNAcentral.